This 825-nucleotide ribosomal RNA is filed under the name uncultured Actinomycetales bacterium. RNAcentral's name for it is "bacterial SSU rRNA". It matches the Rfam family "Bacterial small subunit ribosomal RNA", at positions 71 to 911 of the family's 1533-position model. Lineage: Bacteria; Bacillati; Actinomycetota; Actinomycetes; Actinomycetales. The record is from RNAcentral.
GAAACUACUUCGGUAGUGAAUUAGCGGCGAACGGGUGAGGAACACGUGAGGAAUCUGCCUUCUACACUGGGAUAACUCCGGGAAACCGGGGCUAAUACCGGAUAUGAAACUUGGUGGCAUCACCGAGUUUGGAAAGUUUUUCGGUAGAAGAUGACCUCGCGGCCUAUCAGCUUGUUGGUGAGGUAAUGGCUCACCAAGGCGACGACGGGUAGCCGGCCUGAGAGGGCGACCGGCCACACUGGGACUGAGACACGGCCCAUACUCCUACGGGAGGCAGCAGUGGGGAAUAUUGGGCAAUGGAGGAAACUCUGACCCAGCGACGCCGCGUGCGGGAUGAAGGCCUUCGGGUUGUANACCGCUUUCAGUAGGGAAGAAGCGAAAGUGACGGUACCUACAGAAGAAGCACCGGCUAACUAUGUGCCAGCAGCCGCGGUAAUACAUAGGGUGCAAGCGUUGUCCGGAAUUAUUGGGCGUAAAGAGCUCGUAGGUGGUUCGUUACGUCGGAUGUGAAAAUCUGGGGCUCAACCCCAGACCUGCAUCCGAUACGGUCGAGCUAGAGUUUGGUAGGGGAGACUGGAAUUCCUGGUGUAGCGGUGGAAUGCGCAGAUAUCAGGAGGAACACCAAUGGCGAAGGCAGGUCUCUGGGCCAAUACUGACACUGAGGAGCGAAAGCGUGGGGAGCGAACAGGAUUAGAUACCCUGGUAGUCCACGCCGUAAACGGUGGGCGCUAGUUGUGGGAACCUUCCACGGUUUCUGCGACGCAGCUAACGCAUUAAGCGCCCCGCCUGGGGAGUACGAUCGCAAGGUUAAAACUCAAAGGAAUU